GACUUGUCCAUCUAGUUUUACAUGUUGGAGCCAGAGCCUGACCCAGAGGAGGAAGAAGACAAUGAAAUUACUGUAUAGUUACUAAGUCCAGACUUUAUUUGGCAAUUCUGUCACAAAAACUGUGAAGUAAUAGUUCAGAAAAAAAAUUGGUUGGAUAUUGAAAUCCAUUACUUUUUAACCUCAACAGUAUCAAAAAAUGUACUGCAGUAGUGGCAUGACUAGCAUUGACAAAGCCACGUUGCUUUGUUUAGAUUUACUCAAAAACAAUUAGCAGUUUUCCUCUCCCUCUGCUUCUCCUAUGCUGUCAGACUCAGCACGGGGGGGAGGGGCUGCUAAAAACACAGGAUUCCAGCGAUGGUGGAGUGACAACAGCAAGCUAAAAAGAUCCAAAGUCUGCAUGCACAGAUAAAAUGUGGCGUCAACAGUCAGCAACGUGUUUUCAGAAGUAGCCUAUGUCGAUUCAGAGGUUGUUGUGCAAUCAGAUCCGAUUAAACAAUUCUCUGACACGCUUCGAUCGAGUAUCGAUACAGUUCGCUACCAACAGACGUUACUAUCGCAUGGUUCUGUGGAUUCUCAGUCAUCAGGACAUGGAAAGUUAAAAGAAAAGCAAAGAAGCAACUGAACUUCUUAAGACGUGUGGAGCUGCCAGAUUUAAAGAGCAUGACUCGAGAAGAGCAUCGAUAAGAGGACCGUUAAAAUACUGGAUCCAUUAGAGCAUCAAUAAAUCUUAAUGAUGCCCAUCCCUGAUAGAAAAAAGGGAAAACUUAAUAAAGCUGAAAAAAUAUGACCCAAA
Molecule: long non-coding RNA, 793 nt
Organism: Austrofundulus limnaeus
Lineage: Eukaryota; Metazoa; Chordata; Actinopteri; Cyprinodontiformes; Rivulidae
Exons: 2
Source: RefSeq, a predicted model, not a curated record